GACUGGGCUGAGCUAUAGCCCAUUCCCCCCUAUAUACGUCCCUGAUUUCUUUACUUCAAUUUAUUCUCUACUCCUCACUAAUAGCGAUUAAUUGAAAGAAGAAAUGUUAGAGUUCGGGUGAACUGAAAUCUGUUGGGAGUUUUAUUAGGAGUUAGUAGUUUGCCUUGAAUAAAUCUUGAAGGAAUCAAAGACGGAUAAGGAGAAAAACAUAUCACAUGAAGACUGCUCCCCAGCCACGCAGGUGGGACUUGAGUAGAAAUUGUAGUAACUCCACUGCUCGCUAACAGCAUGCCAGGCGAUCAAGCAAUGGAUGGACUGCUCAUUAGCUGCCGCUAUCUGAUGCAAACUCUAGUCACGAUUUAGACAGAUUUUGCACUCCUAAACAAUCUCAAACUCUCUAUUAUUUGCCAGGGCUGUUAAACUAGGACUUCACCAUAUGUUAGGCUCUUAUUUGUAUUGUAUGUAUUAGGAGUAAUUCUGAAGAUCAUCCAAUAAUCUUUGUAAUCAUCCUUCAAUUUGUUAUAGUGAAUUUCUUCUCCUUUGCCCAUGGUUAUUUUCAC
RNAcentral lists this long non-coding RNA (560 nucleotides) under Olea europaea (common olive). Its description in RNAcentral is "long non-coding RNA (OEUR_LNC015391)". Lineage: Eukaryota; Viridiplantae; Streptophyta; Magnoliopsida; Lamiales; Oleaceae. The record is from RNAcentral.